Fundulus heteroclitus (mummichog) is the source of this 1073-nucleotide long non-coding RNA. RefSeq lists it as uncharacterized. The transcript is spliced from 2 exons. Lineage: Eukaryota; Metazoa; Chordata; Actinopteri; Cyprinodontiformes; Fundulidae. The record is from RefSeq and is a predicted model, not a curated record.
GAUGAGCUGCUCUUGCUUUUUUGACCAGAGACUAUUCACAGCUGGAAUAAGUACUACAUCCACUAAACAUUAUGGAAGCGGCUAGCUGUAAGUUGCCAAGUGGCAUGGUGCCAUGUGAUGGCUGACUUUUCCAGGUCUUCACAUGAGAGGGGUCAACACUACACUGGGAUGUCAAGGUCACCAUGGUGCCCGAUACCUUUGUAGAUAUUAUUUUGCAGGCAUUCCCACAUAAAAAACACAAGGCUAGGAGGGACUGAAGACACGAUUCGAAGACUAUGAACUUCCUCUCUCUCAUAGGGGUGUGAGUAUAUUCUCUAAACAAAAAAAGAUAAAUACUAAAUUUAAUUAUCACAAUUUUAAAUUAAUCCAUUGUGUUAUUUGAUGUUUUUACUUACUCAUCGCUCAUUUCCAUUUCAAAAUCUCGGUCAGAGUCUUCAUCUUCCUCAGGAAUGUAGUCUAAAUCACCAUCAUCAUCAUCAUCAGCAGCAGCAGCACUACUGUCGUCUGAAAAAUCCACUUCCAUUGAAGAACAGUUCUUUUCAACCGAGUUGCCGAGCUUAACCUGGCAGGAAAAAUCCUUUGCUCUUGAAAGCAGGCUUUGGGUCCCUCGAUGACAUUUGGCAACUGGAGUGACAUGCCAGGAUUUUGGAGUUUGACAUGAUCUAGUGCAUUUCACAUCUGUUUCAGUCUGUGACAUUUUAUUCUGAAAAUUAAUAAAAAAUGAAAUGUUUACAAUUCUGAAAAUAAGUUUUCAAAAGAUCUUUGGGUCGGGAUUUAUAAAAUUCUAAUUCCCAAGUCUUUUGUAGAGAAAAUUAAGUUUUAUGGAAGGAAUUUUUAAAUUUAUAUUGGACCCAGUCCUACAUACCAUUCCAGUUGACAUUGUCUGUACACAUGCAUGGGUGGUCAGAGGUAGUUCAAAAGACACAUUAGGCUUGGCAUUCGUUGAGAUGUCGGUUUCAUAGCAAGCCUCUGCAUCAUCCGACGACUCCAUUUGACAUACACUUGCCUCAUAAGCUUGUAGAGCACAGCUAACUGUCUGAAAUAUAUGUAAUGGAAGAGAUUACAGUGGAUAA